RNAcentral lists this ribosomal RNA (752 nucleotides) under uncultured Bacteroidales bacterium. RNAcentral's name for it is "bacterial SSU rRNA". It matches the Rfam family "Bacterial small subunit ribosomal RNA", at positions 28 to 776 of the family's 1533-position model. The record is from RNAcentral. Lineage: Bacteria; Pseudomonadati; Bacteroidota; Bacteroidia; Bacteroidales.
GAUGAACGCUUGCGGCAGGCUUAAUACAUGCAAGUCGGACGGUAACAGGGUCUUCGGACUGCUGACGAGUGGCGGAUGGGUGAGUAACGCGUAUGCAACCUUCCUCACGCCGAGAAAAAGUCGACUGAAAAGUUGAAUAAAGUCUCGUGGUGUGCAUUUCUCGCAUGAGAGAUGUAUGAUAGAAGCAAUUUGGUGUGAGAUGGGCAUGCGUAUCAUUAGCUAGUUGGUAAGGUAACGGCUUACCAAGGCGACGAUGAUUAGGGGGCCUGAGAGGGUGGUCCCCCACACUGGGACUGAGACACGGCCCAGACUCCUACGGGAGGCAGCAGUAGGGAAUAUUGGUCAAUGGGCGGAAGCCUGAACCAGCCAUGCCGCGUGAUGGAUGACGGCCUUAGGGUUGUAAACAUCUUUUCUGCUAGAGGAAUAGAGUUCACGUGUGGACAGACGACUGUAUAGCAGGAAUAAGGAUCGGCUAACUCCGUGCCAGCAGCCGCGGUAAUACGGAGGAUUCGAGCGUUAUCCGGAUUUACUGGGUUUAAAGGGUGCGCAGGCGGGCUCUUAAGUCAGCGGUGAAAUGUCUGGGCUUACCCUAGGAAUUGCCGUUGAUACUGGGAGUCUUGGAUAAGCAUAAGGACGGCGGAAUGCGUAGUGUAGCGGUGAAAUGCUUAGAUAUUACGUAGAAGACCAAUUGCGAAGGCAGCUGUCUGGGUCUUUAUCGACGCUCAAGCACGAAAGCGUGGGGAGCAAACAGG